AUUGAACGCUGGCGGCAGGCCUAACACAUGCAAGUCGAGCGGGGUGAUGGUGCUUGCACUAUCACUUAGCGGCGGACGGGUGAGUAAUGCUUAGGAAUCUGCCUAUUAGUGGGGGACAACAUCUCGAAAGGGAUGCUAAUACCGCAUACGCCCUACGGGAGAAAGCAGGGGAUCACUUGUGACCUUGUGCUAAUAGAGGAGCCUAAGUCGGAUUAGCUAGUGGGUGGGGUAAAGGCCUACCAAGGCGACGAUCUGUAGCGGGUCUGAGAGGAUGAUCCGCCACACUGGGACUGAGACACGGCCCAGACUCCUACGGGAGGCAGCAGUGGGGAAUAUUGGACAAUGGGGGGAACCCUGAUCCAGCCAUGCCGCGUGUGUGAAGAAGGCCUUAUGGUUGUAAAGCACUUUAAGCGAGGAGGAGGCUCUUUUGGUUAAUACCCAAGAUGAGUGGACGUUACUCGCAGAAUAAGCACCGGCUAACUCUGUGCCAGCAGCCGCAGUAA
RNAcentral lists this ribosomal RNA (503 nucleotides) under uncultured bacterium. RNAcentral's name for it is "partial 16S ribosomal RNA". It matches the Rfam family "Bacterial small subunit ribosomal RNA", at positions 30 to 523 of the family's 1533-position model. The record is from RNAcentral.